GAUACUUAUCAAUACUCCCCUUUUGAAGUAUCACCUUGUCCUCAAGGUGGAAGGAAAUGAAACUCUGCCAGUACAUUGCCUUGUUUGCCCGUGCAUCAGCCUUUGUUGUAGCUUCGAGAAUGUCUGCACCUUCAGUCUUUAACUUGAUGGAGAAGAUCUCAUUAAAGUCCUUAUGAGUAAUCUCAAACUGCUUCCGUUCGUUCUCUUCAACUUGUAUCUCUCACGCAGUUGUGUUCUCAAUUAUUGAGACCAACUUUGAAAAGAACAGCUCCAAAAGCUUGCCAUCACUGGAAACUCUGUUUCGGAAUCUUGAUACUUUCCCCAAGAAUGCAAACUGUAAGAGAGGGUCCUUAGACAGUGACUUCCAAACAUGAGUGCUACACGUUUUCUUCUUCAUGUCAAACGGUCUAUUCUCCACUGUCAUAUCUAUAUUUUGGGCUUCACGGGUUGCUCUAAGGUUCUCCUGUUCCUGCCAUUCUCCAAACAACAGUUCAGGUGGCCGUGACG
Long non-coding RNA from Arabidopsis thaliana (thale cress), 507 nucleotides. RefSeq annotates it as other RNA. The record is from RefSeq. Lineage: Eukaryota; Viridiplantae; Streptophyta; Magnoliopsida; Brassicales; Brassicaceae. The transcript has a single exon.